UGGGUAAUAUUGGACACUGGGCGAAAGCCUGAUCCAGCCAUGCCGCGUGUGUGAAGAAGGUCUUCGGAUUGUAAAGCACUUUAAGUGGGGAGGAAGGGCAGUAAGCGAAUACCUUGCUGUUUUUACGUUACCGACAGAAUAAGCAUCGGCUAACUCUGUGCCAGCAGCUGCUGUAUUACAGAGGGUGCAAGCGUUAAUCGGAAUUACUGGGCGUAAAGCGCGCGUAGGUGGUUCGUUAAGUUGAAUGUGAAAGCCCCGGGCUCAACCUGGGAACUGCAUCCAAAACUGGCGAGCUGGAGUAGGGCAGAGGGUGGUGGAAUUUCCUGUGUAGCGGUGAAAUGCGUAGAUAUAGGAAGGAACACCAGUGGCGAAGGCGACCACCUGGGCUCAUACUGACACUGAGGUGCGAAAGCGUGGGGAGCAAACAGG
This 429-nucleotide ribosomal RNA is filed under the name Pseudomonadota bacterium. RNAcentral describes it as "Proteobacteria bacterium partial 16S ribosomal RNA". It matches the Rfam family "Bacterial small subunit ribosomal RNA", at positions 355 to 776 of the family's 1533-position model. The record is from RNAcentral. Lineage: Bacteria; Pseudomonadati; Pseudomonadota.